Molecule: ribosomal RNA, 246 nt
Filed under: uncultured bacterium
Lineage: Bacteria
Description: partial 16S ribosomal RNA
Rfam family: Bacterial small subunit ribosomal RNA
Source: RNAcentral
CGACCGGCGCACGGGUGAGUAACACGUAUGCAAUCCACCUGUAACAGGGGGAUAACCCGGAGAAAUCCGGACUAAUACCCCAUAAUAUGGGCGCUCCGCAUGGAGAGUUCGUUAAAGAGAGCAAUUUUGGUUACAGACGAGCAUGCGCUCCAUUAGCCAGUUGGCGGGGUAACGGCCCACCAAGGCGACGAUGGAUAGGGGUUCUGAGAGGAAGGUCCCCCACAUUGGAACUGAGACACGGUCCAA